Herpailurus yagouaroundi (jaguarundi) is the source of this 1034-nucleotide long non-coding RNA. RefSeq lists it as uncharacterized. The transcript has 2 exons. The record is from RefSeq and is a predicted model, not a curated record. NCBI's taxonomy places the organism in Eukaryota, Metazoa, Chordata, Mammalia, Carnivora, Felidae.
UGCUGUGGCAUCAGGUGGCUGUGUGGCCCUGACUGCAGGGAUGGAAGGGUGAGAAGGCUGCAUGCGGGGCUCUUCUCUCUCCUUUGGGAGCCCUGCCCUCAUUGUGUGGACUCCUCAGUGGAAAAAACUGUUGCCAGGAACUCUUUUGCACUUAUGCAUUGGAGAUGGGGGCAAGAGAAACUGCGUUGAACUAUUGAACUGGGCAAAAGCAUAUGACUGAACACAGGACUGCUGCACCCACAUUCUUGAUAAAAAUUGGACACUCUGCAAAAAAUAUUUUCCUAGUAACUGUCACAAUGUACUCAGAUAAUUUUGUACAUUGUAAAAUGUAAUUAUAUCUUCCACUCAGAAUUUUUGGAAGACAACUGGUGCAAGUUUCUGGAGACUUCUGCAGUUUGCUAAUAAAGACCCUGGGUGUUUACUGCUCCUCGACAGGAUGAAGUUUGGGUUGCUGCCUGAAUCUACGCUUCCCAAGUGGCGAUUCUAAGACCCCAGAUAAACUCUUUUGUCUUAUUUGGGUAACUUCCUGUUUUCUUAGCCAAGAAAGGGAAGGAAGAAAAUCGACAUUCUGCCUGUUAUCCCUCGACGCCUAUUGCAUGGGCCACCGAGUCACCUGCACCAUGUCAUGGGCUUCCUUUGCCAGGUUUGUGCCAUGUCCUCCUGUAAUAAAUAAGAAAGCUGAGGUGCAUUCAAAUCACUUACACACACCGGAGCAGAGACAGAAGAAACCCUCACCCUUCUGACAGUUCUAAGUACUGGGGUGCUGCAUCGACGGCAAGAGCAAGGACAGCAAGAGGAAGCCUCUCACAUCCAGGUCCCCCUCCCCCGCCCCCAGCCUCCCUUCUUGACAGUCAUUUUCCUACCAACUUGGCCAUCCCACCUCAGGGGGCAUGUAGCCUGGAUGCUGUGAUAAAACACCCUCUUUGCACCAAGGCAAUUGAGAGCAGGGGGUCAAGGGCUGGUUGCUCCUGGGUUUGAUUCCUAAUCACUUUUUAAAUCCCUCGUGCCUUGUGAAAUAAACGUGAUGGACUUUG